CUUGGAUUGCAAAUUACAAAACUCAGAUUUUGAGAUGUCUGACAGCUUUUUCCAUACUAUCCAAAGCUCUGUCUCCUUGUUUAUCUCACAUGGCAAAUUAAUACUGAAUCCUUUAAUAGAUGUAUGUAACUCAAAUAACCCUGAUGUAAUAAUCUUCCUUUAAUUAUGUUGGAUAUAUUGAAUAUACCUAAAAUAGGUGGUAGGAUAUGGUAUGCUAAUUUAAAAUAAACCCUCAAAGAAUACUUGUGAUGAAUGAAUAUCAACUGCAAAUUUGUGGAAAUAAAUUUAAACACACUGAUUACAUUUUUCUUAUGAAUUGUUAAAUAUAUAUUAAUGUCAGUCUGCGUGGAUAUGCUCUUCUAAUCAUAGUAAUACAAUAGCACAUCCAAUAUAAUCUUUACAAGACAGAAAAAGUGUCCCAGACUCCUGUGGCCUUUUGAAGCCAGAUACAGUUUGUUGUACUACAUUUUUUCACCUCAUUUUUCACCAGUCUUUCUUGCUUUCUUUGCUUAACCAAUAUUUUUUCUAGUGCAGCAGCUCUGAUUUUGUCUUUACAGCAUUCAAAGAAAGGUAUGAGGAAGUUGCCUUAUUUGAGGGAAAAUAUGAAUGUAAAACUCAGUACCACAAGGAGUUCAAGCCAUCAGAAAGUAAUGUGAAGACUUCAAUCAAGUCACCCCUUGGGGAAGAUUCAAGCCAAUGACGGAAAGAAAUAAGGAAAAAGAAAAGACUUGCUUGAUAACUGACUUCUCUUGGGAAAAGGGAAUAAUAAGUACUGCUUUUUGUCAAGAUUAUCUUUAUGGGAAAGUGAUACAGGAAAUAAAUGGAUUCGAUUCAAACACCUGUGAUGCCUUUUAAAAGGCUUUGAAAAGCUACAAGGAAUGAAAGGUAAGUAUUCAAAGUCAAAAAGUUUGCAUCAAUAAUUUAUAUGAUUUGAUGCAGAAACUUCCCUAGUAGAACAUAAGACAGGUUAUGGACUUCCAGACGGAGUCUCUAUAUGGCAGUGACAGCUAUACUUGAGCCAUAAAGGAAAAGAAAUAUAUUUUUAUUACUGUGUUAAAAAUCUUGAAAUAGAUUGGUUUCAUUGUUU
This 1087-nucleotide long non-coding RNA is filed under the name Falco tinnunculus (common kestrel). RNAcentral describes it as "lncRNA (ENSFTIG00000012298.1)". The record is from RNAcentral. Lineage: Eukaryota; Metazoa; Chordata; Aves; Falconiformes; Falconidae.